UACGUAGGGUGCAAGCGUUAAUCGGAAUUACUGGGCGUAAAGCGUGCGCAGGCGGUUAUGCAAGUCAGAUGUGAAAUCCCCGGGCUUAACCUGGGAACUGCAUUUGUGACUGCAUAGCUGGAGUACGGCAGAGGGGGAUGGAAUUCCGCGUGUAGCAGUGAAAUGCGUAGAUAUGCGGAGGAACACCGAUGGCGAAGGCAGUCCCCUGGGCCUGUACUGACGCUCAUGCACGAAAGCGUGGGGAGCAAACAGG
RNAcentral lists this ribosomal RNA (253 nucleotides) under uncultured bacterium. RNAcentral describes it as "partial 16S ribosomal RNA". It matches the Rfam family "Bacterial small subunit ribosomal RNA", at positions 524 to 776 of the family's 1533-position model. The record is from RNAcentral.